CUUCGGGGGACAAAGUGACAGGUGGUGCAUGGUUGUCGUCAGCUCGUGUCGUGAGAUGUUGGGUUAAGUCCCGCAACGAGCGCAACCCUUAAGCUUAGUUGCCAUCAUUAAGUUGGGCACUCUAAGUUGACUGCCGGUGACAAACCGGAGGAAGGUGGGGAUGACGUCAAAUCAUCAUGCCCCUUAUGAUUUGGGCUACACACGUGCUACAAUGGACAAUACAAAGGGCAGCGAAACCGCGAGGUCAAGCAAAUCCCAUAAAGUUGUUCUCAGUUCGGAUUGUAGUCUGCAACUCGACUACAUGAAGCUGGAAUCGCUAGUAAUCGUAGAUCAGCAUGCUACGGUGAAUACGUUCCCGGGUCUUGUACACACCGCCCGUCACACCACGAGAGUUUGUAACACCCGAAGCCGGUGGAGUAACCUUUUAGGAGCUAGCCGUCGAAGGUGGGACAAAUGAUUGGGGUGAAGUCGUAACAAGGUAGCCGUAUCGGAAGGUGCGGCUGGAUCACCUCCUUUCUAAGGA
RNAcentral lists this ribosomal RNA (523 nucleotides) under Staphylococcus aureus. RNAcentral describes it as "bacterial SSU rRNA". It matches the Rfam family "Bacterial small subunit ribosomal RNA", at positions 1017 to 1533 of the family's 1533-position model. Lineage: Bacteria; Bacillati; Bacillota; Bacilli; Caryophanales; Staphylococcaceae. The record is from RNAcentral.